CGGGUGAGUAACGCGUGGGUAACCUGCCUUGUACUGGGGGACGAACAGUUGGAAACGACUGCUAAUACCGCAUAAGCGCACAGCUUCGCAUGAAGCAGUGUGAAAAACUCCGGUGGUACAAGAUGGACCCGCGUCUGAUUAGCUGGUUGGUGAGGUAACGGCUCACCAAGACUGCGAUCGGUAGCCGGACUGAGAGGUUGAACGGCCACAUUGGGACUGAGACACGGCCCAG
This 232-nucleotide ribosomal RNA is filed under the name uncultured bacterium. RNAcentral's name for it is "partial 16S ribosomal RNA". It matches the Rfam family "Bacterial small subunit ribosomal RNA", at positions 103 to 334 of the family's 1533-position model. The record is from RNAcentral.